AACAUUUCACUGACCUGGUUGUUAUAGCUGAGAGGAUUGAACAAGCCAUUGGGUUAGGUAAGAUUGCUAACCCGACUGAGAAGAACGGUUUCACUGAAGGUGGUUGCCAAGGCACUUAUCAUUUCUAUAGCUAAUUGCUUCACAUCGACUCCUAGAAAUCAACUAUCUUGAAGAUAAAGCUAUGGUGAUAUUAGGUCGAGAAUGAUCUACAUUU
RNAcentral lists this long non-coding RNA (214 nucleotides) under Populus tremula. RNAcentral describes it as "long non-coding RNA (PTRE_LNC001388)". The record is from RNAcentral. Lineage: Eukaryota; Viridiplantae; Streptophyta; Magnoliopsida; Malpighiales; Salicaceae.